RNAcentral lists this ribosomal RNA (460 nucleotides) under uncultured bacterium. Its description in RNAcentral is "partial 16S ribosomal RNA". It matches the Rfam family "Bacterial small subunit ribosomal RNA", at positions 338 to 795 of the family's 1533-position model. The record is from RNAcentral.
CCUACGGGUGGCUGCAGUGAGGAAUAUUGGUCAAUGGACGAGAGUCUGAACCAGCCAAGUAGCGUGAAGGAUGACUGCCCUAUGGGUUGUAAACUUCUUUUAUAAAGGAAUAAAACGAGGCACGUGUGCCUAUUUGCAUGUACUUUAUGAAUAAGGAUCGGCUAACUCCGUGCCAGCAGCCGCGGUAAUACGGAGGAUCCGAGCGUUAUCCGGAUUUAUUGGGUUUAAAGGGAGCGUCGAGUGGUUGUUAAGUCAGUUGUGAAAGUUUGCGGCUCAACCGUAAAAUUGCAAUUGAUACUGGCAGUCUUGAGUACAGUUGAGGUAGGCGGAAUUCGUGGUGUAGCGGUGAAAUGCUUAGAUAUCACGAAGAACCCCGAUUGCGAAGGCAGCUUACUAAACUGUGACUGACAUUGAUGCUCGAAAGUGUGGGGAUCAAACAGGAUUAGAUACCCUGGUAGUC